GGAGAAAUGGCAGAGUGGUCGAAUGCACUAGUCUUGAAAACUAGCGACUGUCACAGGUCCGGGGGUUCGAAUCCCUCUUUCUCCGCAA
Molecule: transfer RNA, 88 nt
Filed under: Lutibacter sp.
Lineage: Bacteria; Pseudomonadati; Bacteroidota; Flavobacteriia; Flavobacteriales; Flavobacteriaceae
Description: tRNA-Ser
Rfam family: tRNA
About the family: Transfer RNA (tRNA) molecules are approximately 80 nucleotides in length. Their secondary structure includes four short double-helical elements and three loops (D, anti-codon, and T loops).
Source: RNAcentral